Molecule: ribosomal RNA, 424 nt
Filed under: Verrucomicrobiota bacterium
Lineage: Bacteria; Pseudomonadati; Verrucomicrobiota
Description: Verrucomicrobia bacterium partial 16S ribosomal RNA
Rfam family: Bacterial small subunit ribosomal RNA
Source: RNAcentral
UGAGGAAUAUUGGUCAAUGGACGAGAGUCUGAACCAGCCAAGUAGCGUGCAGGAUGACGGCCUUAUGGGUUGUAAACUGCUUUUGUUUGGGAAUAAUCGACAUUACGUGUAAUGUUUUGCAUGUACCAUUCGAAUAAGGACCGGCUAAUUCCGUGCCAGCAGCCGCGGUAAUACGGAAGGUCCAGGCGUUAUCCGGAUUUAUUGGGUUUAAAGGGAGUGUAGGCGGUUGGUUAAGCGUGUUGUGAAAUGUAGAUGCUCAACAUCUGACUUGCAGCGCGAACUGGCUGACUUGAGUACACACAACGUAGGCGGAAUUCAUGGUGUAGCGGUGAAAUGCUUAGAUAUCAUGAAGAACUCCGAUUGCGAAGGCAGCUUACGGGAGUGUUACUGACGCUUAAGCUCGAAGGUGCGGGUAUCGAACAGG